Molecule: ribosomal RNA, 468 nt
Filed under: uncultured bacterium
Lineage: Bacteria
Description: partial 16S ribosomal RNA
Rfam family: Bacterial small subunit ribosomal RNA
Source: RNAcentral
GACGAACGCUGGCGGCGUGCUUAACACAUGCAAGUCGAACGGAAAGGCCCUGCUUUUGUGGGGUGCUCGAGUGGCGAACGGGUGAGUAACACGUGAGUAACCUGCCCUUGACUUUGGGAUAACUUCAGGAAACUGGGGCUAAUACCGGAUAGGAGCUCCUGCUGCAUGGUGGGGGUUGGAAAGUUUCGGCGGUUGGGGAUGGACUCGCGGCUUAUCAGCUUGUUGGUGGGGUAGUGGCUUACCAAGGCUAUGACGGGUAGCCGGCCUGAAGGGGUGACCGGCCGAGUUGGGGUAGACUAAGGACGAAGACGCGCAGGGGAGAGGUGGGUGGGAAGUAAGGCAAAGAAGCCAGAACCCGCAUCAGGCAGCGCCGGGUGAGGAAGGUCGGCCUCGGGAUGGUAAACCAGUUACGCCGGUGAAAAAGAGUGGGUAGAGAUAGUGAAAAAAGAAGCAACGACAAGCUAAGGG